Momordica charantia (bitter melon) is the source of this 1603-nucleotide non-coding RNA. Lineage: Eukaryota; Viridiplantae; Streptophyta; Magnoliopsida; Cucurbitales; Cucurbitaceae. The record is from RefSeq and is a predicted model, not a curated record.
UUACGUGGUUUGAUAUUAUCUUGCCACCUGUUUGCCAUUUUUUUUCUCUCUUCCCGAAUCUUCUCCACCUACUCCCAUGGCAGAAGAGGAAAUUGCACCACCUACUGUGCAAUCGUCUUCUUCCCUCACUCAAACUUUUGUUGAACACUACAAUAAUCCAUACUUCUUUCAUCAUUCAGACAAUACAAGCUUGGUUCUAUCUGACUUGUUGAUAGAUGAGAAUUAUACCUCUUGGAGCAGGGCGAUGGUUAUUACAUUCACUGUGAAGAAUAAAAUUGGUUUCGUCGACGGAUCGAUUCCUCGUCCUACUGGUGAGUUGCUCAAUUCGUGAAUUAUUUGUGACAACAUCGUUAUUUCUUGGAUCUUGAAUUCGUUAUCCAAAGAAAUUUCGACCAGUGCGUUGUUCUUUGAUUCUGUGCACGAAAUUUGGCUCGAUCUCAAAGAGAGGUUUCAACGCCAAAAUCGACCACGGAUAUUUCAGCUUCGCCGCGAUUUGACAAAUUUAGUCCAAGAUCAGCUUUCUGUAAGUUCUUAUUUUACUCGCCUGAAGACUUUGUGGACUAAACUUUCUUCGUAUCGCCCCUCCUGUUCUUGUGACAAGUGUUCGUGUGGCGACGUUAAAUUGCUCGAUGAACACUUCGAGCAAGAAUAUGUUAUGUCAUUCCUUAUGGGAUUAAAUGACUCAUACAACCAAAUUUGUGCUCAAUUGUUACUUAUGGAGCCUGCACCAACCAUUAAUCGAGCUUUCGCUCUCGUUGCUCAGGAGAUGCAACAACGUGCGAACUCACAUUCUUCAUCUGCUCCACCGACUGUUAUGAUGGUACGCAGUUCUUCUUAAUCAUCGUCCACCUCCCGAUCUUAUUCUUCAUCUAGAUAUCAAACUAAAAAGAAGGAUAAAUCAGUUUGCACACAUUGUGGCAUUCAAGGGCAUACUGUCGACAGAUGCUAUAAAUUGCACGGGUAUUCUCCGGGAUAUCGGUUCACUGGCAAUCGAUCCACUACUUCACGACACUCCACUGCUAAACCUGCUGAUAAUCCUAAACCUGUCACUUCAUCCCCUGCUGCGCUCUAGGAAAUUCUGAUGUUGUGACUUCGCUUGGAUCUCUAAACAAUGCCAAGGGCUUUUGACUCUUCUACAGACUCAUCUCACAAAAGCAAAGAAUGGAGUUGAUUCAGAUCCUAGUACCUCUCAUGUUGCAGGACAAGUCUUCAUUGAGGAUGAUUGGCAAGGGUAAACUUUGGCGAUGCCUCUACCUCAUCUCUACGAAGCUCGUUAAGAUUGAUGUUUUGCAUUGUGCUCCUGCUGCUACUUGCAAUUCUGUUUAUAUCUCUUAUAGUACUUGGCAUUAUAGACUUGGACAUCCCUCUGCUAAGCACUUACUUGUUUUGAAAGAUACUUUACAGAUUUCAUCUCAUACCCAUACUUGUAACAGUCCUUGUUUGAUUUGUCUUUGGCUAAACAGAAGAAAUUGUCAUUUGAUUCUCCACAUCAUAUAGCUGAUUCGGCUUUUGAUUUACUACAUUAUGAUGUAUGGCGUCCAUUUCAGUCUGCUGCUCAGGCUGGUUUAAAUAUUUUCUUACAGUGGUAGAUGAUUUUUCUCGA